ACUCCUGCGGGAGGCAGCAGUGGGGAAUUUUGGACAAUGGGCGAAAGCCUGAUCCAGCCAUGCCGCGUGCAGGAUGAAGGCCUUCGGGUUGUAAACUGCUUUUGUACGGAACGAAACGGCCUUUUCUAAUAAAGAGGGCUAAUGACGGUACCGUAAGAAUAAGCACCGGCUAACUACGUGCCAGCAGCCGCGGUAAUACGUAGGGUGCAAGCGUUAAUCGGAAUUACUGGGCGUAAAGCGUGCGCAGGCGGUUAUGUAAGACAGUUGUGAAAUCCCCGGGCUCAACCUGGGAACUGCAUCUGUGACUGCAUAGCUAGAGUACGGUAGAGGGGGAUGGAAUUCCGCGUGUAGCAGUGAAAUGCGUAGAUAUGCGGAGGAACACCGGUGGCGAAGGCAAUCCCCUGGACCUGUACUGACGCUCAUGCACGAAAGCGUGGGGAGCAAACAGGAUUAGAAACCCUUGUAGUCCCAUGAU
RNAcentral lists this ribosomal RNA (475 nucleotides) under uncultured organism. RNAcentral describes it as "partial 16S ribosomal RNA". It matches the Rfam family "Bacterial small subunit ribosomal RNA", at positions 335 to 801 of the family's 1533-position model. The record is from RNAcentral.